CGUUCGGGCUACCACCAAGAGCUUGCUCUCAGGCGACGAGUGACGGCCCUUUUAGGGAUGUCUGGGAAACUACCUGUUAGAGGGGGAUAACUUUUGGAAACGGUAGCUAAUACCGCAUACCGCCUCAGGACCAAAGAGGGGGACCUUCGGGCCUCUCGCCAUCAGAUGUGCCCAGAUGGGAUUAGCUAGUAGGUGGGGUAAUGGCUCACCUAGGCGACGAUCCCUAGCUGGUCUGAGAGGAUAACCAGCCACACUCUAACUGAGACACGGUCCACACUCCUACGGGAGGCAGCAGUGGGGAAUAUUGCACAAUGGGCGCAAGCCUGAUACACCCAUGCCGCGUGUAUGAAGAAGGCCUUCGGGUUGUAAAGUACAUUCAGCGGGGAGGAAAGUGUUGUGGUUAAUAGCCCCAUCAAUUGACAUUACCCCCGGAAAAAGCACCGGCUAACUCCCUGCCAGCAACCGCGGUAAUACGGAGGGUGCGAGCGUUAAUCGCAAUUACUGGGCGUAAAGCGCACGCAAGCGGUCUGUCAAGACGCAUGUGAAAUCCCCGGGCUCAACCUGUGUACUGCAUUCGAAACUGUCAGGCUGGAGUCUUGUAUAUGGGGGUAGAAUUCCCGGUGUAGCGAAUAAAUGCGUAGAGAUCUGGAGGAAUACCAAUGACGAAGGCGGCCCCCUGGACAAAACUGACACUCAAGUGCGAAAACGUGUGGAGCAAACAGGAUUAGAUACGCUGGUAGACCACGCCGUAAACGAUGUCAAAAUGUAGUUUUGCCCUUCAGAAUAAUACCGCAGAUAACACGUUAAAUCUACCCCCUGGGGAGUACGGCCCCAGGAUGAAACUCAGAUGGAUUAACGGGGGCCCCCACAAGCGUUGGAGCAUGUG
This 886-nucleotide ribosomal RNA is filed under the name uncultured Enterobacter sp. Its description in RNAcentral is "bacterial SSU rRNA". It matches the Rfam family "Bacterial small subunit ribosomal RNA", at positions 63 to 943 of the family's 1533-position model. Lineage: Bacteria; Pseudomonadati; Pseudomonadota; Gammaproteobacteria; Enterobacterales; Enterobacteriaceae. The record is from RNAcentral.